Molecule: ribosomal RNA, 252 nt
Filed under: uncultured prokaryote
Description: partial 16S rRNA
Rfam family: Archaeal small subunit ribosomal RNA
Source: RNAcentral
ACCGGCAGCUAAAGUGGUGGACAUUUUUAUUGGGCCUAAAGCGUUCGUAGCCGGUUUGAUAAGUCUCUGGUGAAAUCCCGCAGCUUAACUGUGGGACUUGAUGGUGAUAAUAUUAGACUUGAGGUCGGGAGAGGUUAGGGGUACUCCCAGUGUAGGGGUGAAGUCCUAUAAUCCUGGGAGGACCACCUGUGGCGAAGGCGCCUAUCUGGAACGAACCUGACGGUGAGUAACGAAAGCCAGAGGCGCGAACCG